RNAcentral lists this ribosomal RNA (254 nucleotides) under uncultured microorganism. RNAcentral describes it as "partial 16S ribosomal RNA". It matches the Rfam family "Archaeal small subunit ribosomal RNA", at positions 474 to 727 of the family's 1478-position model. The record is from RNAcentral.
CACCGGCGGCUCGAGUGGUGGCCACUUUUAUUGGGUCUAAAGCGUCCGUAGCCGGCUUGGCAAGUCCCCUGGGAAAUCUGGCGGCUUAACCGUCAGGCGUCCAGAGGAUACUGCCAGGCUCGGGACCGGGAGAGGUGAGAGGUACCUCAGGGGUAGGGGUGAAAUCUUGUGAUCCCUGAGGGACCACCAGUGGCGAAGGCGUCUCACUAGAACGGGUCCGACGGUCAGGGACGAAAGCUGGGGGCACGAACCGG